GGUUAAGUGACUAAGCGUACACGGUGGAUGCCUUGGCAGUUGGAGGCGAUGAAGGACGUACUAACUUGCGAUAAGCCUAGUCAAGCCAGUAAGAGGCGCUUGAGACUAGGAUUUCCGAAUGGGGAAACCCACCUGCUUGCAGGUAUCGUUAACUGAAUACAUAGGUUAACGAGGCGAACGCGGAGAACUGAAACAUCUAAGUACCCGUAGGAAAAGAAAUCAACCGAGAUUCCGAAAGUAGCGGCGAGCGAAAUCGGACCAGCCCUUAAGCUUUAGUGUAGUUAGUGGAACAUGUUGGAAAGCAUGACGAAACAGGGUGAUAGUCCCGUACACAAAAACUUAUCUAAAGUGAAAUCGAGUAGGUCGGAGCACGUGAAACUUUGACUGAAUAUGGGGGGACCAUCCUCCAAGGCUAAAUACUCCCAACUGACCGAUAGUGAACCAGUACCGUGAGGGAAAGGCGAAAAGAACCCCUGUGAGGGGAGUGAAAUAGAACCUGAAACCGUGUACGUACAAGCAGUAGGAGCCUACUUGUUGGGUGACUGCGUACCUUUUGUAUAAUGGGUCAGCGACUUAUAUUCUGUAGCGAGGUUAACCAUUUAGGGGAGCCGUAGCGAAAGCGAGUCUUAACUGGGCGCUUAAGUUGCAGGGUAUAGACCCGAAACCCGGUGAUCUAGCCAUGGGCAGGUUGAAGGUUGAGUAACAUCAACUGGAGGACCGAACCCACUAACGUUGAAAAGUUAGGGGAUGACCUGUGGCUAGGAGUGAAAGGCUAAUCAAACCGGGAGAUAGCUGGUUCUCCCCGAAAUCUAUUUAGGUAGAGCCUCGGACGAAUACUUACGGGGGUAGAGCACUGUUAAGGCUAGGGGGUCAUCCCGACUUACCAACCCUUUGCAAACUCCGAAUACCGUAAAGUAAUAUCCGGGAGACACACGGCGGGUGCUAACGUCCGUCGUGGAGAGGGAAACAACCCAGACCGUCAGCUAAGGUCCCAAAGUGUAUGUUAAGUGGGAAACGAUGUGGGAAGGCUAAAACAGCUAGGAGGUUGGCUUAGAAGCAGCCACCCUUUAAAGAAAGCGUAAUAGCUCACUAGUCGAGUCGGCCUGCGCGGAAGAUGUAACGGGGCUAAACAUACCACCGAAGCUACGGCUGCGUACGUAAGUAUGCGGGGUAGGGGAGCGUUCUGUAAGUGGCUGAAGGUGUGCCGGGAGGCAUGCUGGACAUAUCAGAAGUGCGAAUGCUGACAUGAGUAACGACAAGAGGAGUGAAAAACUCCUCCGCCGGAAGACCAAGGGUUCCUAUCCCAUGUUAAUCAGGGUAGGGUGAGUCGACCCCUAAGGCGAGGCUGAAGAGCGUAGUCGAUGGGAAACGGGUUAAUAUUCCCGUACUCGGUAUGAAUGCGAUGGGGGGACGGAGCAGGCUAGGCAAGCAUGGCGUUGGUUGUCCAUGUGAAAGGCUGUAGGCUGGUGACUUAGGAAAAUCCGGGUUGCUAAGGCUGAGAGUCGAGACGAGCCACUAAGGUGGUGAAGUUGUUGAUGCCCUACUUCCAGGAAAAGCCUCUAAGCUUCAGUUCAUACUGAAUCGUACCCUAAACCGACACAGGUGGUCAGGUAGAGAAUACUAAGGCGCUUGAGAGAACUCGGGUGAAGGAACUAGGCAAAAUUGUACCGUAACUUCGGGAGAAGGUACGCUCUUGUUUGUGAAGGACUUGCUCUGUAAGCAAACGAGAGCCGCAGUGACCAGGUGGCUGGGACUGUUUAUUAAAAACACAGCACUGUGCAAAAUCGUAAGAUGACGUAUACGGUGUGACACCUGCCCGGUGCCGGAAGGUUAAUUGAUGGGGUUAGCUUAGGCGAAGCUCUUGAUCGAAGCCCCGGUAAACGGCGGCCGUAACUAUAACGGUCCUAAGGUAGCGAAAUUCCUUGUCGGGUAAGUUCCGACCUGCACGAAUGGUGUAACCAUGGCCACGCUGUCUCCACCCGAGACUCAGUGAAAUUGAAAUCGCAGUGAAGAUGCUGUGUACCCGCGGCUAGACGGAAAGACCCCGUGAACCUUUACUACAGCUUGGCACUGAACAUUGACCCUACAUGUGUAGGAUAGGUGGGAGGCUUUGAAGCAGAGACGCUAGUUUCUGUGGAGCCGACCUUGAAAUACCACCCUUGUAGUGUUGAUGUUCUAACUUAGGCCCCUGAAUCGGGGUUGAGGACAGUGCCUGGUGGGUAGUUUGACUGGGGCGGUCUCCUCCCAAAGAGUAACGGAGGAGCACGAAGGUUUGCUAAGUACGGUCGGACAUCGUACGGUUAGUGUAAUGGUAGAAGCAAGCUUAACUGCGAGACAGACACGUCGAGCAGGUACGAAAGUAGGUCAUAGUGAUCCGGUGGUUCUGAAUGGAAGGGCCAUCGCUCAACGGAUAAAAGGUACUCCGGGGAUAACAGGCUGAUACCGCCCAAGAGUUCAUAUCGACGGCGGUGUUUGGCACCUCGAUGUCGGCUCAUCACAUCCUGGGGCUGAAGUCGGUCCCAAGGGUAUGGCUGUUCGCCAUUUAAAGUGGUACGCGAGCUGGGUUUAGAACGUCGUGAGACAGUUCGGUCCCUAUCUGCCGUGGGCGUUUGAGAAUUGAGAGGGGCUGCUCCUAGUACGAGAGGACCGGAGUGGACGAACCGCUGGUGUUCGGGUUGUGAUGCCAAUUGCAUUGCCCGGUAGCUACGUUCGGAACUGAUAACCGCUGAAAGCAUCUAAGCGGGAAGCAGGCCUCGAGAUGAGUUCUCACUUUGACUUAGAGUCAACUGAAGGGCCGUUGAAGACUACAACGUUGAUAGGCGAGAUGUGGAAGUGCUGUGAGGCAUUAAGCUAACUCGUACUAAUUACCCGUGAGGCUUAACCAU
This 2885-nucleotide ribosomal RNA is filed under the name Pseudoalteromonas piscicida. RNAcentral's name for it is "23S ribosomal RNA". It matches the Rfam family "Bacterial large subunit ribosomal RNA". Lineage: Bacteria; Pseudomonadati; Pseudomonadota; Gammaproteobacteria; Alteromonadales; Pseudoalteromonadaceae. The record is from RNAcentral.